Molecule: ribosomal RNA, 739 nt
Filed under: uncultured bacterium
Lineage: Bacteria
Description: bacterial SSU rRNA
Rfam family: Bacterial small subunit ribosomal RNA
Source: RNAcentral
GGGGAAUAUUGGACAAUGGGCGAAAGCCUGAUCCAGCCAUGCCGCGUGUGUGAAGAAGGCCUUUUGGUUGUAAAGCACUUUAAGCGAGGAGGAGGCUACCGAGAUUAAUACUCUUGGAUAGUGGACGUUACUCGCAGAAUAAGCACCGGCUAACUCUGUGCCAGCAGCCGCGGUAAUACAGAGGGUGCGAGCGUUAAUCGGAUUUACUGGGCGUAAAGCGUGCGUAGGCGGCUUUUUAAGUCGGAUGUGAAAUCCCUGAGCUUAACUUAGGAAUUGCAUUCGAUACUGGGAAGCUAGAGUAUGGGAGAGGAUGGUAGAAUUCCAGGUGUAGCGGUGAAAUGCGUAGAGAUCUGGAGGAAUACCGAUGGCGAAGGCAGCCAUCUGGCCUAAUACUGACGCUGAGGUACGAAAGCAUGGGGAGCAAACAGGAUUAGAUACCCUGGUAGUCCAUGCCGUAAACGAUGUCUACUAGCCGUUGGGGCCUUUGAGGCUUUAGUGGCGCAGCUAACGCGAUAAGUAGACCGCCUGGGGAGUACGGUCGCAAGACUAAAACUCAAAUGAAUUGACGGGGGCCCGCACAAGCGGUGGAGCAUGUGGUUUAAUUCGAUGCAACGCGAAGAACCUUACCUGGUCUUGACAUAGUAAGAACUUUCCAGAGAUGGAUUGGUGCCUUCGGGAACUUACAUACAGGUGCUGCAUGGCUGUCGUCAGCUCGUGUCGUGAGAUGUUGGGUUAAGUC